RNAcentral lists this ribosomal RNA (449 nucleotides) under uncultured bacterium. RNAcentral's name for it is "partial 16S ribosomal RNA". It matches the Rfam family "Bacterial small subunit ribosomal RNA", at positions 338 to 795 of the family's 1533-position model. The record is from RNAcentral.
CCUACGGGGGGCUGCAGUAAGGAAUAUUGGUCAAUGGACGAAAGUCUGAACCAGCCAUCCCGCGUGCAGGAUGAAAGCCCUAUGGGUUGUAAACUGCUUUUAGCAGAGAAGAAAAGCUUUCAUUAAUGAGAGUCUGACGGUAUCUGCAGAAUAAGCACCGGCUAACUCCGUGCCAGCAGCCGCGGUAAUACGGAGGGUGCGAGCGUUAUCCGGAAUUACUGGGUUUAGGGGGUGUAUUAGCGGCGUGGUAAACUCUUGUCGCUUAACUAUAAAAUUGCCAAUGAUACUGGUACGCUUGAAUUGGGUUGAGGUUAGCGGAAUGUGACAUGUAGCGGUGAAAUGCAUAGAUAUGUCAUGGAACACCAAUUGCGAAGGCAGCUAACUGGGCCUUGAUUGACGCUGAGGCACGAAAGCGUGGGUAGCGAACAGGAUUAGAUACCCUAGUAGUC